GAAACAUGAUGAUGAUUGGCUGAGGACACACACUUUUUAUUUCCAUUUUUGUAUCGUGCUAUUUUUGUCAAUUUUGUAAUCGUUUCGAACAUUGUAAAGGCAAACUGUUGUGUGUACAGGUGUACGAAUUAAGGUGGAAAGAGUUUUUUUCUUUUUUUUCCCUCAUGAGGUCAUUUGAAAAACAAUGGAGGGGGAAGAACCUGUUGCAAGCUUUUAUACGCUGACUGUAUCGAGGACAUCGUCGCGUUUCAUCUUUGGCUGGGUCCUCCUCCAGCCAUAAAGAUUAGAUACGUCCACACGUUGGUCUGAAGUCCAAAGGUGGCAAGCGCCUUGUUAACAAGAGCCGCACGACCUGCUAAGCCUCACUCUUGUGCAACCGCAGAAGGAUUUGAGGAACCGAUCCCCCUUCAACCCACCCGAGGAUGAAUGGUCCGCAAAAAGCACAUACCAACAGGUCAACUGGGGCUAGGUAGACCACACCCUGGAUUGGUCGCCGGUCACUCAGAGGCCUGGAAGCCAAGCAAAUGUUGUGACGUAGGUGCAAAAUAU
Long non-coding RNA from Syngnathus acus (greater pipefish), 549 nucleotides. RefSeq lists it as uncharacterized. The record is from RefSeq and is a predicted model, not a curated record. The transcript has 4 exons. NCBI's taxonomy places the organism in Eukaryota, Metazoa, Chordata, Actinopteri, Syngnathiformes, Syngnathidae.